This 494-nucleotide ribosomal RNA is filed under the name uncultured Desulfobulbus sp. RNAcentral's name for it is "bacterial SSU rRNA". It matches the Rfam family "Bacterial small subunit ribosomal RNA", at positions 894 to 1382 of the family's 1533-position model. Lineage: Bacteria; Pseudomonadati; Thermodesulfobacteriota; Desulfobulbia; Desulfobulbales; Desulfobulbaceae. The record is from RNAcentral.
CAGAAACUUAAAGGAAGUUGACGGGGCCCGCACAAGCGGUGGAGUAUGUGGUUUAAUUCGAUGCAACGCGAAGAACCUUACCUGGUCUUGACAUCCCGGAGACCCUUAGGAAACUAGGGGGUGCUUCCAUCUGGAAGAAUCUGGAGACAGGUGCUGCAUGGCUGUCGUCAGCUCGUGUCGUGAGAUGUUGGGUUAAGUCCCGCAACGAGCGCAACCCUUGCCUUUAGUUGCCAGCAGUUCGGCUGGGCACUCUAAAGGGACUGCCGGUGUUAAACCGGAGGAAGGUGGGGAUGACGUCAAGUCCUCAUGGCCUUUAUGACCAGGGCUACACACGUACUACAAUGGCCGAUACAAAGGGCAGCGACACUGCGAGGUGAAGCCAAUCCCGUAAAAUCGGUCUCAGUCCGGAUUGGAGUCUGCAACUCGACUCCAUGAAGUUGGAAUCGCUAGUAAUCGUGGAUCAGCAUGCCACGGUGAAUACGUUCCCGGGCCUU